Molecule: transfer RNA, 69 nt
Filed under: Duplodicodrilus acinctus
Lineage: Eukaryota; Metazoa; Annelida; Clitellata; Crassiclitellata; Megascolecidae
Description: tRNA-Gln
Rfam family: tRNA
About the family: Transfer RNA (tRNA) molecules are approximately 80 nucleotides in length.
Source: RNAcentral
UAUAACGUGGUGUAUGGUGCACACAGGUCUUUGGAUCCUGAAGAUUAAGUUCAACUCUUCUCAUUAUAA